RNAcentral lists this ribosomal RNA (464 nucleotides) under uncultured bacterium. Its description in RNAcentral is "partial 16S ribosomal RNA". It matches the Rfam family "Bacterial small subunit ribosomal RNA", at positions 29 to 507 of the family's 1533-position model. The record is from RNAcentral.
ACGAACGCUGGCGGCGUGCUUAACACAUGCAAGUCGAACGGAAAGGCCCCUUUGGGGGUACUCGAGUGGCGAACGGGUGAGUAACACGUGAGUAACCUGCCCUUGACUUCGGGAUAACUUCAGGAAACUGGGGCUAAUACCGGAUAGGAAUCCUUGCUGCAUGGUGGGGGUUGGAAAGCUUCGGCGGUUUUGGAUGGACUCGCGGCUUAUCAGCUUGUUGGUGGGGUAGUGGCUUACCAAGGCUUUGACGGGGAGCCGGCCUGAGAGGGCGACCGGCCACAUUGGGACUGAGAUACGGCCCAGACUCCUACGGGAGGCAGCAGUGGGGAAUAUUGCACAAUGGGCGGAAGUCUGAUGCAGCAACGCCGCGUGCGGGAUGACGGCCUUCGGGUUGUAAACCGCUUUCAGCAGGGGCGAAGCUUGUGGUGACGGUACCUGCAGAAGAAGCACCGGCUAACUACGUG